GAUGAACGCUGGCGGCGUGCCUAACACAUGCAAGUCGAGCGAUUUACUUCGGUAAAGAGCGGCGGACGGGUGAGUAACGCGUGGGUAACCUGCCCUGUACACACGGAUAACAUACCGAAAGGUAUGCUAAUACGAGAUAAUAUGCUUUUAUCGCAUGGUAGAAGUAUCAAAGCUCCGGCGGUACAGGAUGGACCCGCGUCUGAUUAGCUAGUUGGUAAGGUAACGGCUUACCAAGGCGACGAUCAGUAGCCGACCUGAGAGGGUGAUCGGCCACAUUGGAACUGAGACACGGUCCAAACUCCUACGGGAGGCAGCAGUGGGGAAUAUUGCACAAUGGGCGAAAGCCUGAUGCAGCAACGCCGCGUGAGCGAUGAAGGCCUUCGGGUCGUAAAGCUCUGUCCUCAAGGAAGAUAAUGACGGUAC
RNAcentral lists this ribosomal RNA (423 nucleotides) under uncultured bacterium. RNAcentral describes it as "bacterial SSU rRNA". It matches the Rfam family "Bacterial small subunit ribosomal RNA", at positions 28 to 478 of the family's 1533-position model. The record is from RNAcentral.